Molecule: long non-coding RNA, 1002 nt
Filed under: Canis lupus familiaris (dog)
Lineage: Eukaryota; Metazoa; Chordata; Mammalia; Carnivora; Canidae
Description: lncRNA (ENSCAFG00000056163.1)
Source: RNAcentral
AUGGCAGCUGGCAUUCUGUCUUCCUGUUUAUUGCAGUUUAUCUCAAGCAGUCAUUUCCAUUCACCUUUUAAAAAAAACAUGAGGCGCAGCUGUGGCUUCACUUUAAAUAUUGUUCCUUCCAGCCUUUUAAUUUUUUUCACGGGCUCCUCCCCAAUCUUUCACCAUAAUUGGAUGCACGACACCAGAGACAGCACCUCGGAGAAACAAAGCGAGCGAGCCGGCCUCUCCCUCCUCGGCCACACGCGGCCCGUCCGCAGCUCCGUCUUCUGCAAGCAGCAGCCUGGGGACACAGCAGCGUCCUGGGCUUGCUCUGCCCGGGGACCAAGUGGCGGCCAGCCUUUCGCCGCAUUCUGGGUGAAAUUGUCUUCUUUUCCUUUCUUGGCCUCCCCUCAACGUACGGUGGCUCUAGCCUGGGUCCUUGGUCUCCCCUCAGCGUACGGUGGCUCUUGCCUGGGUCCUGCGCCGGCCAAGGCUGCAUGCACGUCUCCCAGGUGCACGCUGGAUCCGAACAUCCUUCCGGGCAGCAUCGAUCCCAUGGCAGCUUAUUUGUGUGCCUCCCCGCUGGGGCUGCAAGCUCCUGGAGGCAAAGCCCAGGCCCCCUUCUGUGGCUCUGGCCCCACACGCCAUGCCAGGGACGUGAAGGGGCUCUUAGGGGUGACAGCUGAGGAAUCGGGACAGAGAUCCCGGGCUGCAUGGGGAUCCCCGGGUGGCAACGGGGGUCCUGAGGACAGUCGGCUGUGUGGGGCUUUAGCAGAAGGUCAGAGGCUGCUCAGGGCGAGGCAGGACGAUAAUGGCCCAACAUACACACCUGAGAUCCUGCCACAAGGCAGCCUUUCCUCCCCAUACACUAAGAGCUGCUUUCUGUUGAGGACCAUUUUUCAACUACUCCUGAACAAACCAGAGGUCCUUAAUGAAACAUCUUUUUCACCAUCAGGGCCUCCCCCAAGGAAUAGGAACAGAUGUGUACUCUUUUCCGAUGGCUUAAACUGGGUGGAAUCUUAA